UGCACUAAUGUUGAAAAGUUAGGCAAUGAGUUGUGGUUAGGAGUAAAAGUCUAAUCAAACUGGCCAAUAUCUGGCUCUCUCCGAAAUAGCCUUAGAGCUAGCCUUAUGAAGUAGUAUACGGGGGUAGAGCGACUGAAUGGAUUUGGGGGCCCACCAGGCUACCCUAUUCAACCAAACUCCGAAUACCGUAUAUGUAAACAUAGGAGUCAGACAGUGGGGGAUAAGCUUCAUUGUCGAGAGGGAAACAGCCCAGACCGCCAGCUAAGGUCCCAAAUAUCGUCUAAGUGAGAAAGGAAGUGGGAAUGCAUAGACAGCUAGGAUGUUGGCUUAGAAGCAGCCAUCAUUUAAAAAGUGCGUAAUAGCUUACUAGUCGAGCAUUGCUGCGCCAAAAAUUCAAGGGGCUAAGACGAUAACCGAAGCUGCGGGGUGCAUAAUGUAUGCGUACAAUAUGCAAAGGUAGGAGAGCGUUCUACGAUAGGAAGAAGAUUAACUGAGAAGUUAGUUGGACGAGGUAGAAGAGAUGAUGCUGAAACGAGUAGCGAUAAAAUAAGUGAGAAUCUUAUUCGCCGAAAGCCUAAGGUUUCCUGGGGAAGGUGAAUCCGCCCAGGGUUAGUCGGUCCUAAGGCAAGGCUGAAAAGCGUAGUCGAUGGAUAACAGGUUAAUAUUCCUGUACUAUCUAGUAUACGAAGUGGAAACACGAGAGUCGAGGGGUGACAGAGGAGGCUAAGCCAACCCUACGAAUGGACGAGUGGGGCCAAGCAAGUAGGUGGGUGUGAUAGGAAAAACCGUCAUACCGAUAACACUGAGAUGUGAAGGGGGUCCUAACGGACACAAGUGGCUGAAGCCAAGCUUUCAAGAAAAGCCUCGUAGACAAGUAUAAAAGAUAACCGUACUACAAACUGACACAGGUAGGCGAGGAGAAAAUCCUAAGGCGCACGAGAAAAUCUUCGUUAAGGAACUCGGCAAAUUAACCACGUAACUUCGGGAUAAGUGGGACCCGUGUUUGUGAAGUGUGCACACAUGGAGCGAAUGUGGGUCGCAGAGAAAUGGUCCAAGCGACUGUUUAUUAAAAACACAGGACUCUGCAAAGACAAAGAAGUCGAAGUAUAGGGUCUGACGUUUGCUCGGUGCUGGAAGGUUAAGGGAAGAUGUUAUUUUGCGAAAGCGAGAGAAGCAUUGAACCGAAGCCCCAGUUAACGGCGGCCGUAACUAUGACGGUCCUAAGGUAGCGAAGUUCCUUGUCGGGUAAGUUCCGACCUGCACGAAUAACGUAACGACUUGGACACUGUCUCAACGGAGAGCUCGGCGAAACUGAAGCAACGGUGAAGAUACCGUUUACCCGCAACUAGACGGAAAGACCCCAUGAACCUUUACUGUAGCAUGGUAUUGUGUUUUGACACCAUAUGUGUAGGAUAGGUGGGAGGCAUAGAAGGUGAUGCGCAAGCAUUAUUGGAGCCGCCAAUGAAAUACCACCCUUAUGUUGUUAGAAUUCUAACUGUAUGCUGUGAACCCAGAUACAGGACAGUGCUAUGUGGGCAGUUUGACUGGGGCGGUCUCCUCCAAAAGAGUAACGGAGGAGUUCAAAGGUACCCUCAGCGUGGUUGGCAAUCACGCGACGAGCGUAAAGGUAUAAGGGUGCUUAACUGCGAGACGUAUAGGUCGAGCAGAUGCGAAAGCAGGACUUAGUGAUCCGGUGGUUCCGUGUGGAAGGGCCAUCGCUCAUCAGAUAAAAGGUACUCUGGGGAUAACAGGCUGAUCGCCACCGAGCGUUCAUAGCGGCGUGGCGGUUUGGCACCUCGAUGUCGGCUCAUCACAUCCUGGGGCUGAAGGCGGUCCCAAGGGUUCGGCUGUUCGCCGAUUAAAGUGGUACGCGAGCUGGGUUCAGACCGAUGUGAAUCAGGUCGGUCCCUAUCUGCCGUGGGCGCAGGAAUCUUGAGGAGAUAUUUUCUUAGUACGAGAGGAUUAGAAAGUACUGACCUCUGGUGUACCGGCUGUAGCGCUAGCUGCACCGCCGGGUAGCUAUGUCGGGAACGGAUAACCGCUGAAAGCAUCUAAGCGGGAAGCCUACUCCAAGAUAAGGAUUCCAUGAACUAUGU
This 2096-nucleotide ribosomal RNA is filed under the name anaerobic digester metagenome. Its description in RNAcentral is "bacterial LSU rRNA". It matches the Rfam family "Bacterial large subunit ribosomal RNA", at positions 776 to 2825 of the family's 2925-position model. The record is from RNAcentral.